AACUCAAAAACUUAGUCUCAGUUCGGAUUGUAGGCUGAAAACUACGCCUACCAUGAAGCUGGAGUUGCUAGUAAUCGCGAAUCAGCAUGUCGCGGUGAAUACGUUCCCGGGCCUUGUACACACCGCCCGUCACACCAUGAGAGUUGGCAAUACCCAACGUACGUGAUCUAACCCGCAAGGGAGGAAGCGUCCUAAGGUAGGGUCAGCGAUUGGGGUGAAGUCGUAACAAGGUAGC
RNAcentral lists this ribosomal RNA (235 nucleotides) under uncultured bacterium. Its description in RNAcentral is "partial 16S ribosomal RNA". It matches the Rfam family "Bacterial small subunit ribosomal RNA", at positions 1271 to 1500 of the family's 1533-position model. The record is from RNAcentral.